This 1102-nucleotide ribosomal RNA is filed under the name uncultured bacterium. RNAcentral's name for it is "bacterial SSU rRNA". It matches the Rfam family "Bacterial small subunit ribosomal RNA", at positions 1 to 1104 of the family's 1533-position model. The record is from RNAcentral.
GGAUCCAGACUUUGAUUAUGGCUCAGGAUGAACGCUGGCGGCGUGCUUAACACAUGCAAGUCGAACGAUGAGAGGGAGCUUGCUCCCUGGAUUAGUGGCGAACGGGUGAGUAACACGUGAGUAACCUGCCCUUGACUCUGGAAUAAGCACUGGAAACGGUGUCUAAUACCGGAUACGAACUUCAGCCGCAUGGCUAGGAGUUGGAAAGAAUUUCGGUCAAGGAUGGACUCGCGGCCUAUCAGCUAGUUGGUGAGGUAAUGGCCCACCAAGGCGACGACGGGUAGCCGGCCUGAGAGGGUGACCGGCCACACUGGGACUGAGACACGGCCCAGACUCCUACGGGAGGCAGCAGUGGGGAAUAUUGCACAAUGGGCGCAAGCCUGAUGCAGCAACGCCGCGUGAGGGACGACGGCCUUCGGGUUGUAAACCUCUUUUAGUAGGGAAGAAGCAAAGUGUUUUACAUGGAGUGACGGUACCUGCAGAAAAAGCACCGGCUAACUACGUGCCAGCAGCCGCGGUAAUACGUAGGGUGCAAGCGUUAUCCGGAAUUAUUGGGCGUAAAGAGCUCGUAGGCGGUUUGUCGCGUCUGCUGUGAAAACUGGGGGCUCAACCCCCAGCCUGCAGUGGGUACGGGCAGACUAGAGUGCGGUAGGGGAGAUUGGAAUUCCUGGUGUAGCGGUGGAAUGCGCAGAUAUCAGGAGGAACACCAAUGGCGAAGGCAGAUCUCUGGGCCGUAACUGACGCUGAGGAGCGAAAGCAUGGGGAGCGAACAGGAUUAGAUACCCUGGUAGUCCAUGCCGUAAACGUUGGGAACUAGAUGUAGGGUCCAUUCCACGGAUUCUGUGUCGCAGCUAACGCAUUAAGUUCCCCGCCUGGGGAGUACGGCCGCAAGGCUAAAACUCAAAGGAAUUGACGGGGGCCCGCACAAGCGGCGGAGCAUGCGGAUUAAUUCGAUGCAACGCGAAGAACCUUACCAAGGCUUGACAUAUACCGGAAACGGCUGGAAACAGUCGCCCCGCAAGGUCGGUAUACAGGUGGUGCAUGGUUGUCGUCACGCUCGUGUCGUGAGAUGUUGGGUUAAGUCCCGCAACGAGCGCAACCC